UACGGAGGGUGCAAGCGUUAAUCGGAAUUACUGGGCGUAAAGCGCGCGUAGGUGGCUAUAUAAGCUAGAUGUGAAAUCCCAGGGCUUAACCUUGGAACUGCAUUUAGAACUGUGUGGCUAGAGUACAGCAGAGGAUAGUGGAAUUUCAGGUGUAGCGGUGAAAUGCGUAGAGAUGGGAAGGAACAUCAGUGGCGAAGGCGACUCACUGGACCAAUACUGACACUGAGGUACGAAAGCGUGGGUAGCAAACAGG
Molecule: ribosomal RNA, 253 nt
Filed under: uncultured bacterium
Lineage: Bacteria
Description: partial 16S ribosomal RNA
Rfam family: Bacterial small subunit ribosomal RNA
Source: RNAcentral